UGAUGCCAGGCAAAUCCGGCAUCAGAGCUGAAACCUGAAAGUACGGGGUCCCCUUCGGGGGAACCUGAGAGCGAGGGUAACCAUACUCCCGAGAAAAUGGGCUAAACUCAUGUUGGCGGUACCCGUACCGCAAACCGACACAGGUAGUUGGGUAGAACAUACUAAGGCGUUGAGAGAUUCAUGGCUAAGGAACUAGGCAAACUGACCCCGUAACUUCGGGAUAAGGGGUCCUCACCUCCGGGUGAGGCGCAGAGAAUAGGUCCAGGCAACUGUUUAACAAAAACACAGGGCUGUGCGAACUCGAAAGAUGAAGUAUACAGCCUGACACCUGCCCGGUGCCGGAAGGUUAAGAGGAGAUGUCACCGCAAGGGAAGCAUUGAAUUGAAGCCCCGGUAAACGGCGGCCGUAACAAUAACGGUCCUAAGGUAGCGAAAUUCCUUGUCGGGUAAGUUCCGACCUGCACGAAUGGUGUAAUGAUCCGGACGCUGUCUCGGCCAUGAGCUCAGUGAAAUUGUAGUAUCGGUGAAGAUGCCGAUUACCCGCGAUGGGACGAAAAGACCCCGUGAACCUUUACUACAGCUUAGCAUUGACCUUGGUCAUCCGAUGUGUAGGAUAGGCCGGAGGCUUCGAAGCGGCGUCGCCAGGCGUUGUGGAGCCAUCCUUGAAAUACGGCCCUUUGGCUGUCUGAGGUCUAACGUGCGAUGUGCGGACACUGCUUGGUGGGUAGUUUGACUGGGGUGGUCGCCUCCAAAAGCGUAACGGAGGCUUCCAAAGGUGCCCUCGGGCCGUUUGGUAAGCGGCCUUCAAGAGUGCAAUGGCAAAAGGGCGCUUGACUGGGAGGGAGACAUCCCGAGCAGGCAGGAAACUGGGGCAUAGUGAUCCGGCGGAUGUGUAUGGAAACUCCGUCGCUCAAAGGAUAAAAGGUACUCCGGGGAUAACAGGCUGAUCCCCCCCAAGAGCUCAUAUCGACGGGGUGGUUUGGCACCUCGAUGUCGGCUCGUCACAUCCUGGGGCUGGAGAAGGUCCCAAGGGUUGGGCUGUUCGCCCAUUAAAGUGGCACGCGAGCUGGGUUCAGAACGUCGUGAGACAGUUCGGUCUCUAUCUAUCGUGGGCGCAGGAGUUUUGAGUGGUGCUGUCACUAGUACGAGAGGACCGUGACGGACAGACCUCCGGUGUACCGGUUGUGCCGCCAGGCGCACCGCCGGGUAUCCGCGUCUGGAUCGGAUAAGCGCUGAAAGCAUCUAAGUGCGAAGCUUUCCACGAAAUUAGAACUCCAUUGAGGGUCGUCGCAGACGACGACGUUGAUAGGGCGCAGGUGUAAAGACGGCGACGUCAAAGCCGAGCGCUACUAAUUGCCCAA
This 1360-nucleotide ribosomal RNA is filed under the name metagenome. Its description in RNAcentral is "bacterial LSU rRNA". It matches the Rfam family "Bacterial large subunit ribosomal RNA", at positions 1527 to 2912 of the family's 2925-position model. The record is from RNAcentral.